This 277-nucleotide ribosomal RNA is filed under the name uncultured bacterium. RNAcentral's name for it is "partial 16S ribosomal RNA". It matches the Rfam family "Bacterial small subunit ribosomal RNA", at positions 28 to 314 of the family's 1533-position model. The record is from RNAcentral.
GACUAACGCUGGCGGCGUGCCUAACACAUGCAAGUCGGGCGGGGUAGCAAUACCCAGCGGCAGACGGGUGAGUAACACGUAGUCAACCUUCCCGAUAGUGGGGGAUAACUAGCCGAAAGGUUAGCUAAUACCGCAUACGAUCUACGAGCGGCAUCGUUUGUAGAUGAAAGGAGCAAUCCGCUUUCGGACGGGACUGCGUCCCAUUAGCUAGCUGGUGGGGUAAUGGCCUACCAGGGCGACGAUCGGUAGCUGGUCUGAGAGGACGAUCAGCCACACU